GUUACAAAGAACCCCGAACAACCCAAACUGUUAAUCUUCAAUACCGCUUUGUACUUACGAUCUUGUAUCCACUGACUGUCUUGUUAGAUUAACCCAAUAAAUUUCAUUCACUCCGCAUACUCAAUCCUAUAGACACCCUUUUAAUCCUUCAAUCACAGACGUAACUCGAUUUCACAAAAUAGUCAAGAGUAUUCAAACCCACUUCAUUAAAAAUCUCGAUUCACCAUUACAAUACUGACUUCAGCAGCGAUUGCCUUAGUCUUCCCAAAACUCUACGAAGAAGAAAAAUCCAAAUUCUAUGUCUUUCCUUCCCCGA
This 316-nucleotide long non-coding RNA is filed under the name Physcomitrium patens. Its description in RNAcentral is "long non-coding RNA (PPAT_LNC001608)". The record is from RNAcentral. Lineage: Eukaryota; Viridiplantae; Streptophyta; Bryopsida; Funariales; Funariaceae.